Molecule: long non-coding RNA, 933 nt
Organism: Humulus lupulus (European hop)
Lineage: Eukaryota; Viridiplantae; Streptophyta; Magnoliopsida; Rosales; Cannabaceae
Exons: 2
Source: RefSeq, a predicted model, not a curated record
UGGACUGUCAUUAUCUUUCUGUGCUAUAGAUUGUCUCACUUUUUUUCUUUUCUCUAUUUUAUGUCAGUCUUCAAAAUAUUGAUACAAGAUAAACAUAAUGUCCCUAUGAUGUUAUGUCAUCAAUCGUCUUAAUAUAUAUGUAGCACAGAAGGGGAGGGCCAAAAGUGACUUGUAAAAUUCAAAAGAUGUAUUGAUUAAUACCUUAACCAUAAUUAGUAGAGAGAUUGUCAAAUUAAUCAAAAUAACUUUUUUUAUUACAAAAAAAAAAGUCAGAUAUGAGCUGUAUGAUGUUGUUGGUACAAGUUUUUGGUCACAUAGAAAUGGGCCACGAUGACAUUAAUAGUGACUCAAUUCAUACAUAAUGUUUCAAAAUAUAAUAGAAGAACAGUGACGUGUGAUCACUAUGAUUAUAAAUUAUAUGAUAUCUGAUUUAGUUUUGCUUCAAACUCUAAUCUUUAUAUCUAUAUCUGAUUUUUGAAGUGAAAAGAAAAGAAAAAAUGGAUGCUCCGGGGGGAUAUGAAGAACAAUCGUACCUUGGACAUGUUCGAAAGCGGCAUGAGGAGAAAGGCUUUCUUUACGCUUGUUUGUUUGCCUUGUGUUGCUGCUUCUGCUGCUUCGAGACUUGCGAGUGUUGUUUUGAUGUUCUUUGCUGUGGCUGCUGUUGAUGAAGAUUAAUCAAGAAUAAAUUAUGAUCUCACUUUUAUGUAUGUAAAUUAUAUGAAUAAGGGGGUGUCCAAUUUCAUGAUUUUCUUUCUGCAUUGAUUUUUCAUAUUUGGAUUGUUUGUAACGUUAAAAGAAGUAAAGAAAAUAUGGUACUGUUCACUUCACAGCAGUGAAUGAUGAUGAUGAUGAGUCUAUCUUCUUCUUUUUAAUUUUACCUUUGUGUGUUAUUGAUGAAUAAAAAGAAAUAUAAUGAUAUAGUGCUUUUAAUGA